RNAcentral lists this long non-coding RNA (951 nucleotides) under Sus scrofa (pig). RNAcentral's name for it is "lncRNA (ENSSSCG00070014888.1)". The record is from RNAcentral. Lineage: Eukaryota; Metazoa; Chordata; Mammalia; Artiodactyla; Suidae.
AUGUGCCUUGAUGUGGGAGUGAAAUUUUCGAUUUCACUCAAGAGGAUGGAUGGGUCCAUGGAUGGGCUGUGGAACCAUGGACAAAGUGUAGACAGACUGCCUGGUGCCCAGGAGUGGAGGAAGGAGUCACAGAGGUUCCUGUACCAUACACAGCAAAGAGGAAAGAUAGACGGAGCCUGUGUCCCUAAAGACACUGUGAAACUGAUGAGUCAAUCAGCCCUGAAGGCUGACUUAUCUCUGGAGAUGCUUCCGGUUAUGUGAGUUAAUAAUUUUCUUUGUUUGAUUUGACGUGGUUGUUAAUUGCAGCUGAAAAUCUAAUAGAGCCACAAGAGGAGAGAGUUUCAAGAAGCCAGGAAUGAUGGGGUCUGUAGAUGAUGGGCCAAGGAGGUCAUGCUAGGAUUUGGCUAAGGGAGGCCAUGGGUGGCCUUGUCAAGUCGUGUUCAGUGGGGUGGUGAUGCAAAUCCCCCUUUGCUUAUUUGUCUUUGUUCUUUCCUUGGUCCCCAUUAUCUUCCUUCUCCACUGGGCCACAAGAUAUUAGGGUUCUUCUCAGUAUAGUCUGGGCCUUUUUCUCACCUCUGUGUAUUCUUUUUCUUGAUGUCAUCCUUCCCUGUAGGUCUAAAUGGCAUUUAAUGCUGAGGUGGCCCAAAAUAUGUAUUUCCGGCUCAGAUAUCUGUGUUCAAGACUCACACACCCAACUGCUCACCUGACACCUCCAGGUGAAUCUUUCCCAGAUGGGCCAGACUUUGCCUGCCCAAAGCAGAAGAUUUGACCUGCCUUACCCCCUUCCCCCAGCCGUCUCUGUCUUCAUUCAGCAUUGCCCUUCACCCAGCUGCUCAAGCCAGAAACUAAAGUGUCAGCCUCUAAAAAAUAUUAGUUUUUAUUUUAUACUGGAGUAUAGUUGGUUUACUAUGUUGUUUUAGUUUCAAGUGUACAGCAAAGUUAUUAAUUAUA